This 509-nucleotide ribosomal RNA is filed under the name uncultured bacterium. RNAcentral describes it as "bacterial SSU rRNA". It matches the Rfam family "Bacterial small subunit ribosomal RNA", at positions 28 to 528 of the family's 1533-position model. The record is from RNAcentral.
GACGAACGCUGGCGGCGUGGAUUAGGCAUGCAAGUCGAACGGUAUCAUCCUUUCGGGGGUGAGAGAGUGGCGAACUGGUGAGUAACACGUAGGUUAUCCACCCUCAAGACGGGGACAACCCAGGGAAACUUGGGCUAAUACCGGAUGUGAGCAACUUUUAGUUGUUUGAAAGGUGGCGUAAGCUGUCGCUUGGGGAUGAGCCUGCGUCCUAUUAGUUAGUUGGUGAGGUAACGGCUCACCUAGGCAAUGAUAGGUAGGCGGCCUUAACGGGUGGUCGCCCACACUGGGAUUGAGAUACGGCCCAGACUCCUACGGGAGGCAGCAGUCGAGAAUAGUCUACAAUGGUCGGAAGACUGAUAGUGCGACGCCGCGUGAACGAUGAAUCCCUUCGGGGUGUAAAGUUCUUUUAUAUGUGAGCAGUGCUUCUUAUAUUAACAGUAUGGGGAGAGAGAUAUUAGCAUAUGAAUAAGCAACGGCUAACUCCGUGCCAGCAGCCGCGGUAAACUCGU